UACUACAAUGGCGGUAAACAAAGAGAGGCAAGACCGCGAGGUGGAGCAAAUCUCAAAAAGCCGUCCCAGUUCGGAUCGCAGGCUGCAACCCGCCUGCGUGAAGUUGGAAUCGCUAGUAAUCGCGGGUCAGCAUGCCGCGGUGAAUACGUUCCCGGGCCUUGUACACACCGCCCGUCACACCAUGAGAGUCGGGAACACCCGAAGUCCGUAGCCUAACCGCAAGGGGGGCGCGGCCGAAGGUGGGUUCGAUAAUUGGGGUGAAGUCGUAACAAGGUACC
This 278-nucleotide ribosomal RNA is filed under the name uncultured bacterium. RNAcentral's name for it is "partial 16S ribosomal RNA". It matches the Rfam family "Bacterial small subunit ribosomal RNA", at positions 1223 to 1500 of the family's 1533-position model. The record is from RNAcentral.